This 373-nucleotide ribosomal RNA is filed under the name uncultured organism. RNAcentral's name for it is "partial 16S ribosomal RNA". It matches the Rfam family "Bacterial small subunit ribosomal RNA", at positions 527 to 896 of the family's 1533-position model. The record is from RNAcentral.
GUAGGUGGCAAGCGUUGUCCGGAAUUAUUGGGCGUAAAGCGCGCGCAGGCGGUUCUUUAAGUCUGAUGUGAAAGCCCACGGCUCAACCGUGGAGGGUCAUUGGAAACUGGAGAACUUGAGUACAGAAGAGGAAAGCGGAAUUCCACGUGUAGCGGUGAAAUGCGUAGAGAUGUGGAGGAACACCAGUGGCGAAGGCGGCUUUCUGGUCUGUAACUGACGCUGAGGCGCGAAAGCGUGGGGAGCAAACAGGAUUAGAUACCCUGGUAGUCCACGCCGUAAACGAUGAGUGCUAAGUGUUAGGGGGGUUUCCGCCCCCCUUAGUGCUGCAGCUAACGCAUUAAGCACUCCGCCUGGGAGUACGGCCACAAGGCUG